RNAcentral lists this ribosomal RNA (732 nucleotides) under uncultured bacterium. Its description in RNAcentral is "bacterial SSU rRNA". It matches the Rfam family "Bacterial small subunit ribosomal RNA", at positions 28 to 776 of the family's 1533-position model. The record is from RNAcentral.
GAUGAACGCUGACAGAAUGCUUAACACAUGCAAGUCUACUUGAAGCUAACUUCGGUUAGUGGAGGGUGGCGGACGGGUGAGUAACGCGUAAAGAACUUGCCUCACAGUUUGGGACAACAUUUGGAAACGAAUGCUAAUACUAAAUAUUAUGAUACUUCUGCAUGGAAGAAUCAUGAAAGCUAUAUGCGCUGUGAGAGAGCUUUGCGUCCCAUUAGCUAGUUGGAGAGGUAACGGCUCACCAAGGCGAUGAUGGGUAGCCGGCCUGAGAGGGUGAACGGCCACAAGGGGACUGAGACACGGCCCUUACUCCUACGGGAGGCAGCAGUGGGGAAUAUUGGACAAUGGACCAAAAGUCUGAUCCAGCAAUUCUGUGUGCACGAUGAAGUUUUUCGGAAUGUAAAGUGCUUUCAGUUGGGAAGAAGCAAGUGACGGUACCAACAGAAGAAGCGACGGCUAAAUACGUGCCAGCAGCCGCGGUAAUACGUAUGUCGCAAGCGUUAUCCGGAUUUAUUGGGCGUAAAGCGCGUCUAGGUGGUUAUAUAAGUCUGAUGUGAGAAUGCGGGGCUCAACUCCGUAUUGCGUUGGAAACUGUAUGACUAGAGUACUGGAGAGGUAAGCGGAACUACAAGUGUAGAGGUGAAAUUCGUAGAUAUUUGUAGGAAUGCCGAUGGGGAAGCCAGCUUACUGGACAGAUACUGACGCUAAAGCGCGAAAGCGUGGGUAGCAAACAGG